Molecule: long non-coding RNA, 1126 nt
Organism: Amphiprion ocellaris (clown anemonefish)
Lineage: Eukaryota; Metazoa; Chordata; Actinopteri; Pomacentridae
Source: Ensembl
AGUCGGGUUAUUGUUGUUUAUCAGCACAAUACAAAAAGAUUCAUGUUAGAAAUAUUCCAGUUAAGACUCUAGAAUAUCAUGAUUUAUGUAAAUUUACCUCAAUAAUAUGAAUGUUCAGGUUAAGAUUGUGCAGUGAUAUUUAUUAUGUAAGUUUAGCUGAUUAAAGUUUAUUAUUUAAAUUGACAUCAUUAUUAUAAUAUUUAGGGUCAGACUCUACAGUAUUGAGAUUAAGAAAUCAAAUAUUCUAUAAAAUGUAAAUACACUGAACUCAUUUGGAUAUAUUUAAGUGAGACUCUACAAUAUUAUUUAUGACACAAAUCUAUCUAAAUCAACAUUUUAAUCAUUUUUUACUCCAAACAUUUACUGGACUGAUUUAAAUAUUAAAAUCACUCCUUUCUAAUCCUCUGCUGUACGUUCAAACCUGAGGCCUUAAAUAGAAACACACAAGUAUCUGAUUGAAGGAACUUCUGCAGAGUCCUGGUUCCAGAACAUGAUGAUAGAAUUAUAGACAAACUUUAACAAAAGCUGCCUGAGAGUUUACAGGUUUUUAUGUUAGAUUUCUUCAGUAAUUUAAUGAGAGUUAUCAGCAAAAAUCAAGUGUUCAUUUGAUGAACUUCAUUUCCUAAAACAUCCAGAAUUGGAGCUCAUAUCUUUGGCAGCUGUAAAGUUUCUGCUCCUUCAAAGUUCACAACACAAUGAAUGAAUUCCUAAAACACUCUCAAUGCUGGAGAGCGUUUGAUGCUGAAGCAGUGACCAGUUUUUCUGUUUCUUCUCUGGAGAUGCACAAUGAGGGACGUCUGCAGAGACUGAGAAAGAGUCUCACCACAUCCUGACAUGAGGAAAAAGACUUUAUUGAAGACUACAAUGAGAAAAACUAUCAGACAGCAGACGGCUGCAUUCAAGUCUGUAGCUGCUGAAUUCAUGGAUGAAUCAUCUGGCACUAGAGAGGAAGACCAUCAAACAUCCACGUCAGCUGAUGGAGGUCCAAGAGUCUCACCAAACAAACAACCUACAGAGUGAAGACCUCCAAUCUGAUUGGACGGCCUCCUAUUCAGCCACAUUUUAGGCUGUUAGAUUGUUCCAGAUAAGACAAGUACAAGAUUCUUCAGAGCCGUUCUACCACGAG